Oryctolagus cuniculus (rabbit) is the source of this 128-nucleotide small nucleolar RNA. NCBI's taxonomy places the organism in Eukaryota, Metazoa, Chordata, Mammalia, Lagomorpha, Leporidae. The record is from Ensembl.
UUCUACAACUAUUGAUUGGUCUGCAGCUCUUCUUAGUAAUUGUGGCAUUCCACUGUGGGAAAGAAACUGUUACACAAUUGAACACUUCUUAGCAAAACAGAAAGUAGGCAUAUGUGUGAAGUAUAGAA